AUUGAACGCUGGCGGCAGGCCUAACACAUGCAAGUCGAACGGUAGCACAGAGAGCUUGCUCUCGGGUGACGAGUGGCGGACGGGUGAGUAAUGUCUGGGAAACUGCCUGAUGGAGGGGGAUAACUACUGGAAACGGUAGCUAAUACCGCAUAACGUCGCAAGACCAAAGAGGGGGACCUUCGGGCCUCUUGCCAUCAGAUGUGCCCAGAUGGGAUUAGCUAGUAGGUGGGGUAACGGCUCACCUAGGCGACGAUCCCUAGCUGGUCUGAGAGGAUGACCAGCCACACUGGAACUGAGACACGGUCCAGACUCCUACGGGAGGCAGCAGUGGGGAAUAUUGCACAUUGGGCGCAAGCCUGAUGCAGCCAUGCCGCGUGUAUGAAGAAGGCCUUCGGGUUGUAAAGUACUUUCAGCGGGGAGGAAGGUGUUGAGAUUAAUAACCUCAGCAAUUGACGUUACCCGCAGAAGAAGCACCGGCUAACUCCGUGCCAGCAGCCGCAGUAA
This 504-nucleotide ribosomal RNA is filed under the name uncultured bacterium. RNAcentral's name for it is "partial 16S ribosomal RNA". It matches the Rfam family "Bacterial small subunit ribosomal RNA", at positions 30 to 523 of the family's 1533-position model. The record is from RNAcentral.